This 217-nucleotide ribosomal RNA is filed under the name Mycolicibacterium goodii. RNAcentral describes it as "partial 16S ribosomal RNA". It matches the Rfam family "Bacterial small subunit ribosomal RNA", at positions 1 to 212 of the family's 1533-position model. Lineage: Bacteria; Bacillati; Actinomycetota; Actinomycetes; Mycobacteriales; Mycobacteriaceae. The record is from RNAcentral.
UUUUGUUUGGAGAGUUUGAUCCUGGCUCAGGACGAACGCUGGCGGCGUGCUUAACACAUGCAAGUCGAACGGAAAGGCCCUUUCGGGGGCACUCGAGUGGCGAACGGGUGAGUAACACGUGGGUGAUCUGCCCUGCACUUUGGGAUAAGCCUGGGAAACUGGGUCUAAUACCGAAUAUACCCUGCUGGUCGCAUGGCCUGGUGGGGGAAAGCUUUUG